CUUGCCAUAACGAAUGUAAGAGCUCAAGAUUUUCAGAAAGCUUCAGAACCUCUGCCAGUACUUGGGUUAAUAUACAACUGUUGGUAACAAAGUAACCCACAAAACACAGAACAGCCCUGCAUAGCACAGGUAACACAUUACACAUUUCUAAGCUGAGAUUUUGGGCCUUGUAACAGGCUGAAUAUUGCACCUUACAGAAAAGCAGAGCUAUGAGAAGAAGAGUUCAGUGGCAGAAGCUGUUCCUUUGUUGUACCUACACAAAGAAGUUCCUGAUGCCCAGAUUCUGGAUGUCCUCCAUUUAAACCUUUGGGAGAAUAAAAAGACAAAAAACAAAGAGCCCACAAAGCUCAUUCAUUGACAGGGACUGCAAGAGCUCCUAAAACAGCAUGGUAAGGAACUUAGCAAACAUUCCCAUACCAAGACAUGAUAGAGACUCCACUUGCAUACAAUCAUCUUUUUUUGAUCAACAGUGGGGUCUUCUGAUAUUAUGUAUUGGCAGCCACUACCCUCACUCCAAGCUCAAGCCUACUGCCAGCAUCUGGUAAAUUCAAGCUGUGGGGUCUGAGACUACUUUCUUCCAAGGAUCUCCACGGAAAAAGCCUUUUUAAAAAGCCUUUUUAAAGCCUUUUUAAAAGCCACGUGCUCACCCACUCCCCUCUUAUUGUCUCCCACAGACACAUACUUCAUUAGUGCAAUAAGGAAUCAGAUUAAGAACAUUUCUCUUCCACCCGAGUCAAAUACCCCACUACUGUGCUGCAUCAGAUGUAUUAAGAAGUGAAGAUAACAGAUAUUAGGAGACCUAUUUCACUGUCCAUCUUAAACAUCUGUGCUAUAACCUUGAUGUGAAUGGCCUUCAUCUUCUGUCUGCUCAGAUAUUAGUGAUUAGUCUUAAAAGAAACCCUAUGAAGUUUUGACAUAGUUCUCACAGGCUCAAAUGAUACACCAGGUUUGCCCAGCCAUUUGUUCCACAUACAUAGAGCCUCUGAAUACAGAAAGAAUUGAGAAGGAUGCACCUUCAGGAACCACCCACCAGCACAGAUCCUUUGCAAAUUCAGCCCGCAAUUUCCAUAGCUGGGAAACCCAGUGAUCCAGCAGGGAAAUCCAGGCAAUUUACAGUUUGCACAUGUUUCUGGAGAAAUGUGUAUUUCGUAGCUGACACGCAAACAGCUCACUGUACAAAGCUGCAGCCUUAAACACUAUGAAAUGCCACAAGUUGAAUCCGUGGGUUUCCACAAGAAACACAACAUCAGCCUGUUACUACUGUGUUACUUACGUCAGCUGCAGAACUUGGUCCUCCAUCAAGGAAAUAAGAGGACAGAUGACUAUUCCUGUACCUCCAGUGUAAACAGGAGGAAACUGGUAGCACAAACUCUUCCCAUAUCCUUAAAAAAAAAAAGAAAAAAACAACAAAGGUAGAAAUGAAACAACACAUAGUUGUUAUAUUUUAUGGCACAGUUGUCUUAUGCUUCUGUACUAACUAUUUACUGAGUCCUAAAAAGGAAGCUGACACGUGCCCCAUUAGCAGACAAAAAUGCAGGAUAAAUACUGUUGGCAUCCACUCAAUGCCACUUCCUCCAAGGUCAGUGGGAAAAAAAACUGGACAGAAAUACAAGCAGCAAGCACAGGUGGCCAAGAUUUGCAGCCUCCAACAGAAAAGGUGAGUCCUGAGCACUCUGCUCCUAAGAGCCAUGUGGACAGUCUUCAAGUUUCAAAGCCUUAACCUCCCCCAAAAGAGAAAGAUUUCUUGCCACCUUUUAAGACAUAAAAAUAACUUACCAGUUGCCAUGACAACAAGAUUGUCUCUUUUGUCUUCUAAAACAGAAUGUAUCACUUUCCACUGAACCCUUUGAAUUAAAGGAAGAAGAAUACGUUUUAUUUUUGCCAUCACAUGUAUAAUGUGGCAAAUUGUGCUGAUGAAAUCCUUUUGGCUGCCUGACAGUCUUCUCUUUGCAUACUGCAACCACUCACGCCAUAUUUACUUGACUGCAGUUAGUCCUACCAGUGUUACAGUGGGGAUCUCUAACAGAACUAAAGUAGGCAACACUUGAGGUAGUCAUUCAAAGAAGACUGCAAAAUAACAUCUCCCCUAUGUCAGGAAGUGAUCCACAAAUACUCAAGAAACUACAGUUAUCUUUCAUAAAAGGAUUCUAAACAGGACUUCAGUGUUGCCAAACAAUUUUGAUUUUUAAUGGUCUCACGGGUAUACAUAAUGUGCAGUGAAUUAAAACAGAAAUUCUCCCCUUUGUAAUGUCUAACAGUUUACCAAACAGCUGUGUCCUUUUUUUUGUUUGUUUGUUUUGUGCUUCUUUAUCUUUCAAGCCCCAAGCAUUGCUCUUUCAGUACAUUCCGUGCAACAUGUGGUCUAACACAAGUCAUUCAGGAUGAUCUCACUCCACACCCAUUGAUAUCAGAAACUCUUAACAGCAAUGCUGGAAUCUACGAGCACACAUUACACUGAAAUUAUGCCCCAUUAGAUGUUCUAGAGAUAAAUAGGAGCCUGUCUUCAAUUAGAGCCACACGUCAAAGACGAUGGAAGUUUAUCAUCAUACAAAGAACACACUUGUGUUCUUUGCAAGUUAAUAGUGUUUUCUCUUUGAAAUAUCUGAGCUAGACCAGGGAAGAAAUAUUCACUCACAGAAGGCUUGCCACCAGAAAAAGCAAGAAAUGUAUCCUCUACUAUGAACAUACAGUAUUGUAGUAAAUGGACUUUAUUUUGCUAUUUCACUGUAGCAAAGGCUGCCUUCGCUGGGGAUUCUGCACAGCUCCAAGUUUGUUAGUGGUUCUUAAAGUAGAAAACAAAAAAAACAAAAAACCAAGCUGAAAAAAGGGAAAGAAAGUGUAUUGAAGAUGUACUUACGGUUUAAAAGAAGAAUGCCCAAAAUAUGUCUUCAGACAUGCGAUGUGGAUUUCACUAGGCACUGACAGCAAUGGAUCUUUAGGGGGAGACAGAAAAGGCCUUAUAUGCAACUGAAUUUUAAACAGAUGAAGCUUUGUCUUGACAUUCCGCUUGUGGUUAGUGAUGCUUAGGCCUAAGCUUUGGACAACCCCAGUAGAAAGAGAUAUAUCAAGUUCUGAACACAUUUAUAGGCUAAAAUAAAGGAUCAACAGAGGAACAAACACACACCUCAGAGACUCUUUGUGAAGAAGAACGGAUAUGGCAUUGUUAAUGAGAUAACAAAGCAAUGGACUCUGCAUAACUACAUUAUCUGGAACAUGCUCAGAAGAAGUAAUAGGGAUGUUCUACCAUUCAUCCCUUUUAAGACUUUAUGGAAGUUAUUUAUUUAACACCUGACACUGCAAUUCGCUAACAAAGUCAUGGUCUGAAAAUGUCAUAGGGGAGGAUCCUGAUCUUGCUGUGAACGACAAAGAAAACCACUCAAAAUUCCAUUUAAAUUUAUAGCUAUUACUCAGCAGUGGAAUGGAAUAAUUUUUGUCUGCUGAGCAAACACAUGCUCCCUGUAAUAGUUUGCUGAGCAAUUGUUUAAAGAGAUGAAGAGAGUCUACUGAUCAUGGCAAGAGUCAACUGUGUUUCACCAAGGACACCUUUAAGUUUUCAUCUUGACAUAUCCUCAAUCACUCCUUUCAAAAUCCAGAUCAGCUUUUACUCUCUGCUUUAAGAAACUAAGCACAAAAUAUCAGUGUUUACACAACCAAUUCUAUAGAGAACACCCUUUUUUUUCCCCCCCCUCUCCAUUCUGCACUAUAAUUUAAAACAUACCCCAACAUUCCUCCUCAUCCUCUUCAAUGACUUCAUCUUCAUCCCCAUCUGGUGCGACGUUCAAUUCUGUGUCCGGAGUUUUCCUGGCUUUGCUGGACUCCCUUUCAGUUGGAACUUCUUUAGAAUUGUCCACAUCUUCUAAAGACUGAAUUCAGAAGAAGUUAAUUCAAGAUAUGAAAGGGUAGACACUACGCAUACCUGAGGUAACAAGACAUAGGGACACACGACUACAGCAUGGAAGAUGGACAUGAAGCACUGCAUCAUAAGAAAAAAAGAAAACACAAAACAUCUAAAAAAAUCUGAAGUGCCUUAAUGAUGUAACACCUUUUUUCCCCAGGAUGCCUGCAAAACAUACAGCAUCGAAGCAACCUAUUUGACCUAUUGUUCAGAUUAACAGCACCUGCAGUAAUCUGAAUGCAUGACACACAGCAAACCAACUGACGCACAACCAUCAACAAAAGUGCAGGAAACGGGUAGGUCAAAAGUCUAAGCUGCUACAGUGAAGAUGUGACAAAACGUGGGAUACUGAGGUCCUACAAUGGUAAAUGCAGUUCUUCAUCUACCCACAUAUUCUUCUAUCCACCUUUUGUAAGCAACACCUAUUUGUUUAAUUCCCUCCACUCAACGAUGCUAUGUUGUGCUGUGACCUGACAGCAUCAUCACUGGGGAAAAAAAAAAAGUGGAUAAGCCAAACCCCUGAGGCACUCACUUUAAGCAUCUCCAUUUCCAGUUCUUCAUCACUUUCAAUGAUACAGGAGGUAUUUUGGUCGUUGUCUGUUGGGCAUUCCUCCUAAGAAGAAAAUACAUGCGUACAAAGAUAUUUCUAUUUUUACCCACCUUUUGCUACAAAUUACUUCUCUGUAUGCAUUUACUUCUCAGUGAAAAAAAAAAAUUAAACUAAGCUCAACGUUCAGUUCUGAAACCCAGCCAAAAUGAUGCAAAUCUACAAAGAGUUAAAACACAACAAGGCCCUAUAGUAGGAGGCAAAACCAACAGUAUUACCAAAUGUGGGAAAGACUUGGAACGUAAAGAAAUGACGGCCUCAUUUAAGAGGCAUCAACCCAUAUAAAGCAGUCACUAGAAGGACUGUCAUUCAGAGAUUCAUUUAAGAUCUACUUUUUAUUCAUGACCAAGGUUGAGAUGUUUGAGUGCAGAAUUUGUCCCCAUACUGCAGAAACUUAACAUCACAGUUUAUUAGUAACUACAAGAGGAAAGCUAAUCAGAAUAUCAUUAAUGAACUAAAUGAAUAUAUUGGCUUCUGUACUCAGUAGUCCUCCCAACUACAUAACUGAAGAGCAACUCAGUGCUUGACCACCCACACAAAUAUUUUCCAGACUCUGAGCCCUUACUCUAGCCCACCCUAAAUUGCUCUUACCAAGACUUCUUAAAAUUUUGUGGGAAAGUAAGGAUAAGAUCAGCUCCUCUGGUGAGCAUCCAUGACUAAUGAGGGACUCUGUCAUUACCUCAGGCACAGCUUUGUUGAGAACUUCUUCUGCAGCCUGACGUUCCAAUAUCUGUAGUUCUUGCUCAUUAAAGUCUAACGACAUGAAGUCA
This is a long non-coding RNA of Gallus gallus (chicken), 5272 nucleotides long. RefSeq lists it as uncharacterized. The transcript has 4 exons. The record is from RefSeq and is a predicted model, not a curated record. NCBI's taxonomy places the organism in Eukaryota, Metazoa, Chordata, Aves, Galliformes, Phasianidae.